This 285-nucleotide ribosomal RNA is filed under the name uncultured marine bacterium. Its description in RNAcentral is "partial 16S ribosomal RNA". It matches the Rfam family "Bacterial small subunit ribosomal RNA", at positions 527 to 811 of the family's 1533-position model. The record is from RNAcentral.
GGAGGGGGCUAGCGUUGUUCGGAAUUACUGGGCGUAAAGCGUACGUAGGCGGAUCAGAAAGUAUGGGGUGAAAUCCCAGGGCUUAACCCUGGAACUGCCAUCUAAACUCCUGGUCUUGAGUUCGAGAGAGGUAAGUGGAAUUCCAAGUGUAGAGGUGAAAUUCGUAGAUAUUUGGAGGAACACCAGUGGCGAAGGCGGCUUACUGGCUCGAUACUGACGCUGAGGUACGAAAGUGUGGGGAGCAAACAGGAUUAGAUACCCUGGUAGUCCACACCGUAAACGAUG